Molecule: ribosomal RNA, 918 nt
Filed under: Nipponacmea sp. JM-2022
Lineage: Eukaryota; Metazoa; Mollusca; Gastropoda; Lottiidae
Description: 12S ribosomal RNA
Source: RNAcentral
GGAGAGCAUGGUCCCGACUCUAAUAUUGGUUUUCUCUUAGAAAGAUACAUGGUAGUUUAUGCGAGGAGAGAGGUGUAUUAUAAACCGAAACGGGUCUCCGUUAAAAACGGAUCUCUAGCGGGGGGUGUUAUUAAUUGUAAGAAGAGGCCCCAUGGAAAAUCUCUAACACCAGUACAGAAACUUAUGGCAAUGGAGGACACUCCGACCUAGCUAAGGAGAAUAGGGGUGAGCAAGACAUGGUGCCAGAACUCUCGGUAAGGCCAGCUCCCCAAGCUAAUACACAACGGCUUAGGCGGUAAGGCAGAAAUGAAAGAGGUGCUGCGCGCUUUAAUUUAUAGGUCAAAUUUGAGAAUUAAAUAGCUUGCCCAUACAGUACUUGAUUGUUGAAUCCGCGAAACUCUGGGGUUAGACCCGGAUUAGAUACCCGGUUAUUCCAGAGCAAAAAUACGCCACACUGCCUGGGAACUACGAAGAAUCUUUAAAACCCGAGGGACUUGGCGGUGCACUAAUCCUCCCAGGGGAACCUGGCCCUUAAUUCGAUAAUCCACGAACUUCUUACCUUUCCUAGAUAAGUGCAACUUGUAAAGAAGUUCGCUUAAACAGUUUGCAUACCGCCGUUUUCAGCUUAUAUCGUGAGGGGAUAGUAAUAGGCUAGAAAGUAGCUUAUAUAAUGAUUAUAAGGUGCUGUAAAUUCAGGUAAACGUGUAGCUAAUGGAAAGGGGUGAGCUGGGUUACAGUUGGGGUUUGAAGUAGCAUGUAGCCUUAAAGGCUACAUAAAAGAGUACUUGGAAGUAAUGAUCUUGGGCAAAGAGGUCGUGAAUAGUGCUCUAGUGUGUGUACAAAUCGCCCGUCGCUCGCCUUGAAAAGGGUGAUAAGUCGUAACACGGUAGGGGUACCGGAAGGUGUCCCUAAAACAUA